This 514-nucleotide ribosomal RNA is filed under the name Candida albicans. RNAcentral's name for it is "eukaryotic LSU rRNA". The stretch from base 144 to 297 matches the Rfam family "5.8S ribosomal RNA". Lineage: Eukaryota; Fungi; Ascomycota; Pichiomycetes; Serinales; Debaryomycetaceae. The record is from RNAcentral.
GGGAAACUGACUGCUUAUUGCACCACAUGUGUUUUUCUUUGAAACAAACUUGCUUUGGCGGUGGGCCCAGCCUGCCGCCAGAGGUCUAAACUUACAACCAAUUUUUUAUCAACUUGUCACACCAGAUUAUUACUAAUAGUCAAAACUUUCAACAACGGAUCUCUUGGUUCUCGCAUCGAUGAAGAACGCAGCGAAAUGCGAUACGUAAUAUGAAUUGCAGAUAUUCGUGAAUCAUCGAAUCUUUGAACGCACAUUGCGCCCUCUGGUAUUCCGGAGGGCAUGCCUGUUUGAGCGUCGUUUCUCCCUCAAACCGCUGGGUUUGGUGUUGAGCAAUACGACUUGGGUUUGCUUGAAAGACGGUAGUGGUAAGGCGGGAUCGCUUUGACAAUGGCUUAGGUCUAACCAAAAACAUUGCUUGCGGCGGUAACGUCUACCACGUAUAUCUUCAAACUUUGACCUCAAAUCAGGUAGGACUACCCGCUGAACUUAAGCAUAUCAAAAGGCGGGAGGAAAA